This 495-nucleotide unclassified non-coding RNA is filed under the name Hevea brasiliensis (rubber tree). The record is from RNAcentral. Lineage: Eukaryota; Viridiplantae; Streptophyta; Magnoliopsida; Malpighiales; Euphorbiaceae.
UUACCGACUGGCUGAAGGUCUUGGUUUUCCCUUUAUAGAAUUCAAGUGUUGGGUAACAAAUAUGACUCCCAUUACAAGUAUGAGGCAACCAACCAGCGUGCUGAAAAAGAGAGCCCCUGGUUGCCUGGUCUGGACAAAGCCGUACACACCGGUAGAGGUCACAAGGAUAAUAUCUGUAAGACCAUCGUUCGAGAAGUCCUCGGUGAUGAGGGCAUGAGUCGGUGAGGCGGGAAGAUCAAUUGACGCCUGUACACUUCCUCCUGGAGAUAUGACUACGGCUUCUUGUUCUCCUCCAGCAAGGACCAUUUCUUGAUCGCCACCCACUCGCAAUGAGAUAGCCUUGAGUGUGGGAAUCACGGUACCAGCAUCCAUCAUCCCUGAUGGAGAGGGAAGAUUUGACCAAGUAGCACCUGUUGAGAUCUGCCACUGCCAAUCGGCACCAUGACCAUGCAAUCCAGGUGAAUAUGAUGUUACCUCUCCCCGGUUAGUCAAGAA